This 6156-nucleotide long non-coding RNA is filed under the name Sus scrofa (pig). Its description in RNAcentral is "lncRNA (ENSSSCG00030045941.1)". Lineage: Eukaryota; Metazoa; Chordata; Mammalia; Artiodactyla; Suidae. The record is from RNAcentral.
AGAGAGAUGGGAAGACAGAGGGAAGCAGGAGGGGGAGAGAAAUACAAAGGGUGAUAAGAAUAUGAAUUUGGGAUGUAUAGGGAAAAAUGAAGUAUUUAUAGAUGAGCGUAAGGCGCAUCUUUUUCCUGGUGAAAUUUUAAGCAGACAGAGAGCCCUGUUCCCAGGUGAAAAAAGUUGUCAAAGACACUGUGCCCUCUAUUCACUUACAAACUGACAGAUGAAGUUUAUUUCAUAGGUCAUUUUACCGUAUAACAUAAGGAAGGCGAAAUUUCUGUGCUGUUGAACUUUAAAGGAACAACGAAUCCCCAUGGUACUAAAACUGACCAAGGCCAUAUAAAAAUGAGGAGUAGUUGUAUUAAAUCUUAUAAAGGUAGAUUAACUCUGAUAUUAAAAUCUGACAGUGAUCAGAAAGUCAGCACAUUAUAUGCAUAUAUAUGUGUCAUCUCAAUUAUAUAAAUAUUAAUGCACACUCUUUUUUUUAAGGGAACACUUAAACCAGCAAUAUAUUAAGAAGUAAUAACCCAUGAUGAAAUAACAUCUAUGUUAGGAAUAUUAGCAUGAUUCAAUACUAGGAAAUGUAUUAUUGGAAUUCUUGACAUGAUUAGAUUAAGUUAAAAAACAAAAAAACUUUUGCUGUUUCAAUAAGUGCCAAAAAAAAAAAAAAUGUGAUAAAGUCCAACUAGUAUUUCAGAUAAACGUUCUAGGUCAAAUAGAAAUGGAAAUAAUAAAAAUAACCUCAAUGAAAUGCCUCAGUAUGUCUGGAUGAUGAAAGAAACAUUCCAGUAGUGUCAAUAAGAAAGGGUUCCUGCUCUCAUUUUUAAUAUUAAACUUUCGGAAAUGAAAAUCAAUAUAUUUUAAAGCUAGGAAAGCCGGAAGCAUUAAUGAUAACACUGAUAAUAGCAGUGAUGACAAUAGAAAAUGUACACAUGUUAAAUAAGGUUUCCAGUUAAAAUACAGGCAGACGUUUGUUCGAUACGACAGGAGGAUAAUAAUGGUAGUGAUUUUCAUGGUAUAACCAUUCGCUUACUGCUGACGUGGUCCCAGGACUUCUGGGCAUGUUAGCGGCACCACAUGUAAAUAUUCCCCAUAACCCUGGGAGAGACAUAUGACUACCAUUCUCAUUGGACGGGCCGGAGAUGUUACCGUGAUGAACGCCUAGGAUGAAAAUACUCCAAGGUGGUUAUCAGGGAACAGUGUUGGGAAAAUACACAAAUAUUAGAGAAUGCAAGUGGUACCUGGUAGGUUUGGGAGAAAAAAAAUACAAAGAUGUUUUUUCACGUGAUGUAUAGGGGGUGUCCUGGUGAGGUGCCUCAGAGGCCUCAGAGAAGCCGGUCUGGGGCUCACAAGGGAAGGGAGUGUUGGGUUUGUAGGCUUAGAAAUGAUCCCCUGGGGGAGUUCCCGUCGUGGCGCAGUGGUUAACGAAUCCGACUAGGAACCAUGAGGUUGCAGGUUCGCUCCCUGGCCUUGCUCAGUGGGUUAAGGAUCCGGCGUUGCCGUGAGCUGUGGUGUAGGUUGCAGACGCGGCUCAGAUCCUGUGUUGCUGUGGCUCUGGCGUGGGCUGGCAGCUAUAGCUUCAAUUAGACCCCUAGCCUGGGAACCUCCAUAUGCUGCGGGAGCAGCCCAAAGAAAUGGCAAAAAGACACACACACACACACGAAAUGAACACCUUACACUGAGGGAGAGAGUUAAUGUGGGAGUCAUUUCUCUUUAUAAUCAACUUAAUAGUUAACAUUCCUCUUGGCUUCAAACGUUGGGCAGAGGUCAGCAUUGAAAAUUAUAUGUUUUUAACUCUGGAGUAUUUCAAUACUAUGACAUUUUAUCUAGCUGAUUAUUUCUCUGUGUCUUUAAGCUAGAGGUGAGUGCACUCAUGCUCUUGCCUGGGUGGAGGUAGAUGUAUAUUUAUGUUCAAAAACUGGAUUAUAGCUGCCCACACAAACAGGUUAUCUUUUUCAACCAUUCGCUGUGAUACUUAGAAACACAGGCUAAGGAUGAUAAAAUGCAUCUAGAUCAUUUCAACGGCCAAAGAAUAUUUGUGUAUAUAUUCUUUGCAAAAAAACCUGUCUUCAACUGUGGGGCAAUAAAACGUUUCGUCAUCUUUCUUAAAAUAAGCAAUGUUACGAUAGCUAUUUUUCAUACGCUUUGAAUAUUUGUCUGAAGUGUUUCAACAGAAGAUCCUAAAUCAAAGUUUCUUUUUCAUUAGUUAUGCUUUUUCAACAAUAACAUUAAUUUAUUGAUUAUUUUACGGAACUACAAUGAAGGAAACAGAAAACCAUUCCUAGUAUCACCAUCCAGAUCACACCACGGAUAUUUGAAAAAGCAGACACGUGUUUAUAAAAGUUCACAGAGCACUAAAAAAGUCAAUAUGACAAGUGACAACUUCCUUCUUUUCCUUUUCAUGAACUGUUUAAAUUGGAGAAUGGUGCAUACGACCAUAUACUAUCCAACUCAUUAUUUACAUGGCUGUGAAUUACUGCAGGGCUUUUCCGCCGGGGUGGAAAAUAUUCCUAGAUUAAGUCUGUCUCCUGGAAGUGGCUCCUUAGUCUCUGGUUCUCCAGUGUUUUCUGCUGUACCUUCUGGAAGGUUCUUUUCUAAUGUGUUCCUUAACUGCUCAAUAACACAGUAUUUCCUUUGAACAGGAAAUAUGUAAGCUGCUUCCUGCUCAUCCAUACACAGCUGGGGGUGCUGAGGCUCAAGUUUACAUUGUAACCUAGCCCCUUUUAUUCCAGACUGGUAACACUUUUGCCAAUACAACUGCAUCUGUAUUUGGGAGGGUCUCCUAUGAAUUUGAUCCCCUGCUGGGGCUAAACUAGAAGUAGCAUUUCUCUGUGAGAUACACUCUCCUCUUAGACUCAGUCACAUCUUUGGGGUGUGUAAGGCUGUGGUAGAGCAAUGCCCUCCCACUCUUUGGAGUUAUUUUGCCCACCAAGAGGUUGCACUAGACCCUGUCUUAACCAUUUCAAAAGUCUAAAUAGAGGAUCUUACUCAACACCUUGGUCUGGUCUCUACCCUGAGGCUGUGACGUUCUGGUCAUUGGCUGGAUUUUUUUCCCCAGGAUUUUAACUUUUUUUUGGGGGGGGGAUGGGAAUCGUUUUAUCAUGAAACACGGGGGCGUUAAGACACAGGUUUGUUUUCCAGAUUUUUCCCAGACACUCUUUUCUCUACAUUCUGUCUGCAAAUUAACCUGCUGUUUCUGAAUCCAUUCAUUUUACUGUAGUACCUUCUCAUUUGCAGUUGGUAAGGACUAGAUGACUCUUGAGGUAAUUUGUGGAAAGAUCUUUGUCCCAGGGCAACAAUUUGUUUUAGGUACAUUUUCUAGCUUCCAGAGUUACCAGAGACCAUAAUGUUACCCAUAUCCUGUGACUGCAAAACAUGAUCAUGAUUUUUUUCUGGCCCCUUAGUGCAAUCCCUCGAUUCUUUGACAGCUUGCUGCAUUUUCAGAGAUUCUGGGUUUACUGUUGGACAUGGGCCAUUUUUGCCAUGGGUAGUCCUGUCUAUCGAUUUUACUUGUGCUGACAAGACAUGAGCAGAUGCUCCAUAAAACCUUUCCCUUGGGAUGAGAUUUAAAUACUGUUUUCUCAGGAGUUCCCAUCGUGGCUCAGCAGAAAGGAACCCAACUAGUAUCCACAAGGAAGCAGGUUCAAUCCCUGGCCUCGUUCAAUGGGUUGCCAUGAGCUGUGGUGUAGGUUGCAGAUGAGGCUUGGAUCCUAUGUUGCUGUGGCUGAGGUGUAAACUGGUGGCUGUAGCUCCAAUUCAAUCCCUAGCCUGGGAACCUCCAUAUGCCGUGGGUGUGGCCGUAAAAAUAAAACUAAACUUGUACCUUUAUAAAAAUAAAUAAAUAGAUAAAUACUGGUUUUUUGAGCCCUUGGAUUUGAGGAGAGUUGGUUUGUGCUCUUCUGGGGUGUGGUGUUCUUUGUGUGGCGUGAUUCUACUCUUUUGACUUUUCCAUGGAGGAAGCUUUUCCCCCAGGAAGGAAGGUGCUCCUCUCGGGAAUCUGAUGCUUUUCUGAAUUUGUCCUCAAAACUGGAAGCCUUGCCUUUCUGUUACACAGGCUGCUUGGUUCUCCUUCUGGCCAGGCUCAAGCACUUCCCCCGAGGUGUCUCCACAUCCCCUGGCAGAAAAUGAAAAGGUGGGGGAGAAAGGGUGUUGGGUCCCAGGCUGAAGUGGUAAAUGUGAUGGGAGCUCUGUGGGUGGCUCACCUUGCUUAGGAGAGCUUGAGUCACUUGAUUUCUCUUUAGUUUUCCUUUCCAUGAAGUUCCUGAUGGCCAGACAAGCAAGGGAAAGGAAAGAGACAGAGUGGUCUUCCUGUCCCAUCCUCUCAGCUCACUGUAUGCUCCAGUGGUCUUCAGCUCACUGUCUGCUCCAGUGGUCUUCUCGGUAGCACAUCAAUCUUCAUCAAGGGGCUUGUCUUCCUGGAAAGUUUCCUGACUCCCUCCUCGGCCAAGUCCUUUGUCCAUCCUCACACCACUCGUCCAAGCUGAGGGUAAUGGUUGGUCAUCCACAGUUUAGACUUCCUAACCUGUCUGCUUGUAGAGAUUCAAAAGAGGAAGACCUGAGGGGCCACAGUGGACCUCACCCAGCUAAGCUGUGCAGGCUCUUGGGCAUGUCAGGCUAGAUAGACCCUGUGCUGCUCCUAGAGCCUUCCCUUGGUUUGAACACUGCUGGUCUCAGGGAAUGGGCUGCUUACUGUUUGGUCUGAUAUAUGUGUCGGUCGUUAGAUAGGGAGGAAAUAGGUAAAUACACAGGUGGAGACAGAAAGUGGUGGAUGGAUAAUAGGUCUUCCUUUUGAGGUUGCUGCAGUCUGCCUGUAGGAGUGAUGUGCUCAUUCUUUUCUGUCUCCUCUUUUGUAUCCCUGCUACUCAACAUCUAGUGGGUGAGCAGCAACCUUUGUGGACGGAAUGAAUAAACUUUGUUUCCAGAAUCAUUUAGAAAUUUAGGUGAGAUUAAGUGAAGCAAGUCCUUCAGAGGAAGACAAAUACCAAGAUAUCACUGUGGAAUCUAAAAUAGGACACAAAUGAACUUAUUUAUAAAAAGAAACAGUUACAGAUUUAGAAAACAAAUUUAUGGUUACCAAAGCGGAAGGGGAGACAUGUGGAUUUGGAGUUUGGGAUUAACACAUACACACUACUGUAUAUAAAAUAGAUAAACAACAAGGUCCUACUGUGUAGCACAGGUUACUAUAUGCAAUACCUUGUAAUAACCUAUCAUGGCAACUAAUCUAAAAAAGAAAAAAUUAUAUAUCUGAAUUACUUUGUUCACACCAGAAACUAAUACACCAUUGUGAAUCAGCUGUGCUUCAGUAUCUUUCGUCCCCAUUUGAGGAGCCUACACAUAGAAGUGGACAUGGGUGAGCAAACAGAUUCAGGUCUAUAGCCAUCUUUUAUUUUUUAACUUAUUAAAAUUGGUUAGUUUUGAACAUCCCUUUCAGUUCUCUUUGGAAGAAAAUUCUGGGAUGUGAGAAUCACAAAUUUCCUCACUUAAUGUCUUCUGAAGCCACAGUGCCGACCACUGCUUUGUGCUCUUCCUGUGCCUGGUUAGGAACAACUCAUGGCAGAAGGAGUAACUUUGUUAUUGAGAACAGUGAAAUAUUUCAAGAACAGAUUUUAAGAGAUAACAAUCGGGGGUGCUCAACUUCAUCUCUUUGCCUCUGGCCCUUUUGCAUUUUGCAAAAGCAAAAUGACUACAUUUCCUAUGUAACCAGGAUCAGAAUUAAACAAAAAUAAGAAAUUAGCCCUUUAAAUAAAUUUGCUUGUAUGGAUACACGUUAAUUAUCUACAUUAUAGUUCUGUCUCAGUCACAUUUCAUCAGCGUAUUGAGUUCAUCCCUAAGAAUUCAGUUCUGUACUUAUUGGACUCCCUAGAAAUACAGGUGAGACCUUUUAUUCCUCGAGGAGGUACCAAAUUAUAAAUCAGGCAAAAACAAAACAAACAAACAAAAAAGAAAACACUGACCCUUGGAUUCACAGAACCUGGGAACAGGUGAGAAUUGGAAGGGAGGCGGUGUUCUAGACAAAAAGCUGACACUCUUUGGAAACGUGGUGUUCUGUCCCUGCUAUGCUGACGUCUAGCUGUGUGUGACCUGUUCUAGGAAUAAUGACCUUCAGGGUCCUCAAAGUUAUCAUGGCUAAAAAUAAAUAAAAAAUACUAAAAAAACAAAAAA